UAAGAUUUUUAAAUUGUGCUUUGAAGUGUCACACCAGGUUGGAUGCCGGUUAUUUUCAGUGAAUAACAUCCUAAAUAUUGUUGCCUUUUUGGAGCUUGACAGUAAUAUUCUUCUGAAUGACUCAUUUUAUGUUCCAUGGUAAAAUUAUAACAGCAUAUGGGUUUGGAAUGAAGUGAGGGAUGAUUUGUGACCUGGGCAUGUUUUUAUGAGAUUCACGACCUCAUUAAUGGGUUUCGAUCAGUUACAACUGUGUUUCCUAUAAAAUGAG
Molecule: long non-coding RNA, 268 nt
Organism: Rhinichthys klamathensis goyatoka
Lineage: Eukaryota; Metazoa; Chordata; Actinopteri; Cypriniformes; Leuciscidae
Exons: 2
Source: RefSeq, a predicted model, not a curated record